AAGUAUAAGCAAUUAUACCGUGAAACUGCGAAUGGCUCAUUAAAUCAGUUAUCGUUUAUUUGAUAGUACCUUACUACUUGGAUAACCGUGGUAAUUCUAGAGCUAAUACAUGCUAAAAACCCCGACUUCGGGAGGGGUGUAUUUAUUAGAUAAAAAACCAACGCCCUUCGGGGCUCCUUGGUGAUUCAUGAUAACUUCACGAAUCGCAUGGCCUUGCGCCGGCGACGGUUCAUUCAAAUUUCUGCCCUAUCAACUUUCGAUGGUAAGGUAUUGGCUUACCAUGGUUUCAACGGGUAACGGGGAAUUA
This 307-nucleotide ribosomal RNA is filed under the name uncultured Pleosporales. RNAcentral describes it as "SSU rRNA". It matches the Rfam family "Eukaryotic small subunit ribosomal RNA", at positions 61 to 372 of the family's 1831-position model. The record is from RNAcentral. Lineage: Eukaryota; Fungi; Ascomycota; Dothideomycetes; Pleosporales.